CCUACGGGAGGCAGCAGUGAGGAAUAUUGGUCAAUGGACGAGAGUCUGAACCAGCCAAGUAGCGUGAAGGAUGACUGCCCUAUGGGUUGUAAACUUCUUUUAUAAGGGAAUAAAAUGUUCCACGUGUGGGUUUUUGUAUGUACCUUAUGAAUAAGGCUCGGCUAACUCCGUGCCAGCAGCCGCGGUAAUACGGAGGAUCCGAGCGUUAUCCGGAUUUAUUGGGUUUAAAGGGAGCGUAGAUGGGUUGUUAAGUCAGUUGUGAAAGUUUGCGGCGCAACCGUAAAAUUGCCAGUGAAACUGGCAGUCUUGAGUACAGUAGAGGUAGGCGGAAUUCGUGGUGUAGCGGUGAAAUGCUUAGAUAUCACGAAGAACUCCGAUUGCGAAGGCAGCUUACUAGACUGCAACUGACAUUGAUGCUCGAAAGUGUGGGUAUCAAACAGGAUGAGAUACCCGAGUAGUC
This 460-nucleotide ribosomal RNA is filed under the name uncultured bacterium. RNAcentral describes it as "partial 16S ribosomal RNA". It matches the Rfam family "Bacterial small subunit ribosomal RNA", at positions 338 to 795 of the family's 1533-position model. The record is from RNAcentral.